Mycena rosella is the source of this 103-nucleotide non-coding RNA. The record is from the annotation of a GenBank genome assembly. Lineage: Eukaryota; Fungi; Basidiomycota; Agaricomycetes; Agaricales; Mycenaceae.
UCCGAAUUGGUGUAGGGGUCAACAUUGCCGCUUCUCAUGAAAGUUUGCUUAUGUAAACUCGCUUCGGUCGCGGCAGCCCGGGGUUCGAUUCCCCGAUUCGGAA